AUUGAACGCUGGCGGCAUGCCUUACACAUGCAAGUCGAACGGCAGCGCGGACUUCGGUCUGGCGGCGAGUGGCGAACGGGUGAGUAAUACAUCGGAACGUACCCUGUUGUGGGGGAUAACUAGUCGAAAGAUUAGCUAAUACCGCAUACGACCUGAGGGUGAAAGUGGGGGACCGCAAGGCCUCACGCAGCAGGAGCGGCCGAUGUCUGAUUAGCUAGUUGGUGGGGUAAAGGCCCACCAAGGCGACGGUCAGUAGCUGGUCUGAGAGGACGAUCAGCCACACUGGGACUGAGACACGGCCCAGACUCCUACGGGAGGCAGCAGUGGGGAAUUUUGGACAAUGGGGGCAACCCUGAUCCAGCAAUGCCGCGUGUGUGAAGAAGGCCUUCGGGUUGUAAAGCACUUUUGUCCGGAAAGAAAUCGCGCUGGUUAAUACCUGGCGUGGAUGACGGUACCGGAAGAAUAAGCACCGGCUAACUACGUGCCAGCAGCCGCAGUAA
RNAcentral lists this ribosomal RNA (500 nucleotides) under uncultured bacterium. RNAcentral describes it as "partial 16S ribosomal RNA". It matches the Rfam family "Bacterial small subunit ribosomal RNA", at positions 29 to 523 of the family's 1533-position model. The record is from RNAcentral.